CCUACGGGAGGCAGCAGUGAGGAAUAUUGGUCAAUGGGCGUAAGCCUGAACCAGCCAAGUCGCGUGAGGGAUGAAGGUUCUAUGGAUCGUAAACCUCUUUUAUAAGGGAAUAAAGUGUGGGACGUGUCCUAUUUUGUAUGUACCUUAUGAAUAAGGAUCGGCUAACUCCGUGCCAGCAGCCGCGGUAAUACGGAGGAUCCGAGCGUUAUCCGGAUUUAUUGGGUUUAAAGGGUGCGUAGGCGGCUUUUUAAGUCGGCGGUGAAAGUUUGUGGCUCAACCGUAAAAUUGCCGUUGAAACUGGGGGGCUUGAGUAUAGUUGAGGCAGGCGGAAUGCGUGGUGUAGCGGUGAAAUGCUUAGAUAUCACGCAGAACCCCGAUUGCGAAGGCAGCCUGCCAAGCCGUGACUGACGCUGAUGCACGAAAGCGUGGGGAUCAAACAGGAUUAGAUACCCCUGUAGUC
Molecule: ribosomal RNA, 460 nt
Filed under: uncultured bacterium
Lineage: Bacteria
Description: partial 16S ribosomal RNA
Rfam family: Bacterial small subunit ribosomal RNA
Source: RNAcentral